This is a non-coding RNA of Ailuropoda melanoleuca (giant panda), 73 nucleotides long. The record is from Rfam. Lineage: Eukaryota; Metazoa; Chordata; Mammalia; Carnivora; Ursidae.
CCACGUCAAGCCUUUGGCAUCAUUAUCCUCAUCACUAAAUCCUACAGAGUACAGGGCGGAAAACGGUGCACAC